Non-coding RNA from Heligmosomoides polygyrus, 75 nucleotides. The record is from Rfam. NCBI's taxonomy places the organism in Eukaryota, Metazoa, Nematoda, Chromadorea, Rhabditida, Heligmosomidae.
GUGCCGGUGGUGUAAAGGCUUAGAGCAUUCCCUCCCGGUCAGAGGGAGGUGCGGGUUCGAGUCCCGCCUAGCGCC